UGGGGAAUCUUGGACAAUGGGCGCAAGCCUGAUCCAGCCAUGCCGCGUGAGUGAAGAAGGCCUUCGGGUUGUAAAGCUCUUUUACCAGGGACGAUAAUGACGGUACCUGGAGAAUAAGCCCCGGCAAACUUCGUGCCAGCAGCCGCGGUAAUACGAAGGGGGCUAGCGUUGUUCGGAAUUACUGGGCGUAAAGCGCACGUAGGCGGAUUGUUAAGUCAGAGGUGAAAUCCCGGAGCUCAACUUCGGAACUGCCUUUGAUACUGGCAAUCUAGAGUCCGGAAGAGGUUAGUGGAAUUCCCAGUGUAGAGGUGAAAUUCGUAGAUAUUGGGAAGAACACCAGUGGCGAAGGCGGCUAACUGGUCCGGUACUGACGCUGAGGUGCGAAAGCGUGGGGAGCAAACAGGAUUAGAUACCCCAGUAGUCCCUGAGCGGGCUGGCAAGGCGCAU
RNAcentral lists this ribosomal RNA (447 nucleotides) under uncultured bacterium. RNAcentral describes it as "bacterial SSU rRNA". It matches the Rfam family "Bacterial small subunit ribosomal RNA", at positions 355 to 825 of the family's 1533-position model. The record is from RNAcentral.